CGUGGGUAACCUGCCCAAGAGAUCGGGAUAACACCUGGAAACAGAUGCUAAUACCGGAUAANAACAGAUGAUGCCUAUCAACUGUUUAAAAGAUGGUUCUGCUAUCACUCUUGGAUGGACCUGCGGUGCAUUAGCUAGUUGGUAGGGUAACGGCCUACCAAGGCGAUGAUGCAUAGCCGAGUUGAGAGACUGAUCGGCCACAUUGGGACUGAGACACGGCCCAAACUCCUACGGGAGGCAGCAGGGC
RNAcentral lists this ribosomal RNA (247 nucleotides) under uncultured Lactobacillus sp. Its description in RNAcentral is "partial 16S ribosomal RNA". It matches the Rfam family "Bacterial small subunit ribosomal RNA", at positions 116 to 354 of the family's 1533-position model. The record is from RNAcentral. Lineage: Bacteria; Bacillati; Bacillota; Bacilli; Lactobacillales; Lactobacillaceae.